Long non-coding RNA from Oreochromis aureus, 1257 nucleotides. RefSeq lists it as uncharacterized. Lineage: Eukaryota; Metazoa; Chordata; Actinopteri; Cichliformes; Cichlidae. The transcript has 6 exons. The record is from RefSeq and is a predicted model, not a curated record.
UUUUUGUCAUUUUAAUUCUCUUUUCUGUUUUCCAGAACAGUUCUCCACAGUCGCUGUCCACAUGGGUCAGUGGGACCAAGAAGCACUCCGCUAAUGUGUGGACUCUGACCAGCAACAUCCAGCAAGACCCAGACAGCGUUUUCUAUCUCCCAGCUGGAGUUUUUUGUUUGUCUGUGACCGGAGAGUCAGAUUUUUGUUGAGGCUGGAGGAACAGCCUUACACUUGCAGAGGUUAAUACACUCUACUGAUCCCUGAUGGGAGAAUCAUCACCUCUGCCAACAAAGAAGCCUGGUGGAUAUUUGUUUGCAGUCUGAUGAUGGGACAUCAUGCUCUGCAUCUUCAAAGUUUACCUCCUCAUUAUUAUUCAUACACAGUAAUGUGAAGCAUGCUUAUAUCUAGUAUAACUGGACCAACCUGGUGCUCUUCAUUUAUGGAGGCUGUUGAGUCUGAAUGUUGGAUGUUGUGUAUCUCUUGUUCUCUGGGCUUUGUUGUCCUCAGUCUUUUUGCAGGAUCAGAAAACAAAACCAGGAGACCUGUAAAUGUUUCUUCUCCAAUUGGAUGAUGAUAAGACUGUGACAUGGGAUGCCACCUUUAGUCUUGUGAUGAAGCAAAGCUCAGGACGAAGUGUGAUUAAAUGGUACCCACAUGUGUGCUGCUGAGAAGGAUGUACAGGGGCACCUGCAGCCAAAUCCAAGCCUCCUCAGCAACUUCAAGUCUGUCAGCAUGCUGAGGUCACAGAAACAAGAAAAGAAGCUUGACACUUCAGAGUGUUGUUUACAGUUUUCUGUCAUCAUGAUCUCCCCUGAAGUUUAUCACUAUUAGGCAAGCAAGCAGAGCGGCAGUUUGUGCUCACAGAUGGUGACGGUGUGGAGAGACGGUGGUGUUUCCUCAGAAGAACUAGCAGAGUCACCAAGGGCACGAGUCCAUCUCACCACCUUGACUUGCAGACUGAUGCUCGUCUGCACUGCACAGAGGAAAUCAACUGACCGAGAUGGGCAGGAUAUCAGUCUUGGACUGUCUAACCUGCCGGAGCAGCACUGAAUGACCACCACACAUGAGCAGUUCCUGCAACAUUCAGCAGCUUUGCUUUUGUGUCAAAUGUCAAACAGCUGGAGAGGAAACUAAACCAGUACUGGGCUGUUUCACCAACAUGUGCCAGAUGCUGUUCCUUCAUGGUGACAUCACCAGAGACAGCCCCGCCCACCUCAGGACCUCGCCAUUGGUCAUGAUGAUUAUAAUCAGAACUAAGACUGUACA